GAAAAGAACCCAGUUUGAUUCUCAGAACCCAGGCUGACUGUACAAAGCUGGUAGUUAGAAAAACAUCUUUUCUACUUACAAAAACUGAGAAAGAUUUGAUACAGAAAGAAACAAACAUAGAACCCUAGGGUCUGUUUUCAGAGUAGAACUUCUCUUUAAAGAACUUCAGAAAAUACCUCGGUUGUUUUUUUUUUGGUCACCUGCAUGUGACUUUUUUCCUCUACAGAAUUAGAUUUGUUGUAGUAUUCCACUAUUGCCAACAGGAGAUAAGUAUAUGAAUGGAAGACAGUCCAUAAAAAAAGUUUUAAAUUUAAGCAAAAUAUUUUUUUUUCCAAGAUAAACACAACUUUUGACUACUUAUCACCCAAGUGCAGCUCAACUCCUCUGUAACUAUGGCCUACUUUGGACCACGGCAGAUUGGAUUGCAAUUGUCAGGCAACAAGUUCAGUGAUGUACAUGUGAGUAAAAUAAGCAGGAUUGGACCCCAAGAGUUCAAGACCUGCUGAGAAUACAUCAAUUUCUAAAAUCCUUAGAGGAAGGAGUGAACCACUUAAGACGUAUAUGCAGACUGACAAUGACUGAGGACUUCCCAGCAUCUCCUGAAGGCCCUAUUGAGAGAAAAUUAAUUCCAGCACCACUUUAUUUUCUAUGCUAUCAUCACACUGGGAAAUAUCGCAUGAUUAAUUCUAGUGAUACAAUUCAAUAUUGAUGCAAGUGAGUAUGUAGCAAAGGGUUAUUUCCUCUAUAUUAUUAGAAAAGUCUUCCACACACAAAGUAUUGUACUCACUACUCUAAGAUCCAAACAUUCCUGCCAGGCUCCAUCAAUCCUUUUUCUGUUUCCUAAAACUGGUACAACAAAUGCCAAUGUCCCCAAUCCCCACCGCUCUCUUGGGGGGGGGGGGGGGAAGGCAAGAUUUGCAAUCAUUGCUAACACUAGCAAACCCUCAAAAGCGAGACGCCUAAGAGUGGAAAAGGUGCUUAGGUCGCUACAGCUGUUUCACGUUUUGGAGGGAGGAAGAGAGGGAUAAUUGGAUGCCAGUCGUUUCCGAUCGUGGCCAUAAGGCAGCUGCAGCGCAAAGCCAACAAGGGAGCUGGAAGUUGCGCCGCGAGCGGCUACGGGGAGGCUGCAGGGCUCACGGCUGGAUGCCCAAGGCGGAGGGGGGCCGCCCGCCCCGCGCUCACUCAACCUAAAAAAGUUUCCCCGGGAGAGCGAGGCUGCCCCGCGCCCGCUCGCGACACCAGCCACGCGCGCUGGCCCCGCGCCCCAGCAUCACUCCAGCCACUGCGCUCAACAGGCUGCCCGGUCCCUCGCCAAACCGCGCUCGGACGCCGCAGCCCCGGGAGCUGCCCAACGCGCCCCCCUCCCCGGCCUGCGCCUGGCAAGAGCCCCGGGCCCCUGCCCGUGGAGACGGGCGCUCCGCGGGGCGCCUCCCCCUGGCCGCCGCGGCUGGCCCUGGAAAGGGCUGAAAGAGCCGCCGCCAACGCCGAAAGUCCUCGCGGGGGGCGUCAAACUCCUGCGGACUUGCAGGGGAGUUUAGCCGGCCUGAGUCCCGCUGGCGGCGCAGGCAGCCGCCCGAAGGACGGACGCGCGGUACCUUGCGGAGUGAUGGAGGGUGGCAGCCGGGGCCGGCCCCUGCGAGGCGCCCAGGGAAAGAAGCGGCUCCGCGAGCUCCGGCUCAGCCACCGAGAAAGUUUCCUGACGUCAGGCUGGGCUUCCUCCCGCCUCCCCUCCCACCAUUGAUCUGCCGGAGCUGGCGCUCGGCUGCUCCCGGGCUCCCUCUGGCUCACGCCGCCUUGCUACAGCGGGAGGUGGCCGGGCUCAUUGGCAGGCGGAGCGCGUGUGCGCCCCCCUCCCGCGCGCGCGUCCGCCCGCUCGGUCAGCGCCCAGCCAAGCGCCUGGGACUUUGCCCCGGGGUGGUUUAGACGGGGAAUGAUCCUCCCCCCGCCGCCUUCCCACAGCAGCUUCGCGAGGAAAGAACCUGCCUGGGGUAACAGAAGCAGCUAAACUGUCUUAAACAACCAUAGCGAGUCUGGCAGGGGGCUGUAUUCUUGAAGAAAUCUGCUGGGGGCGGGGGGAGGAUGCAGAUUCUGGGGGAUGCAUUCCCAGGGACGGGUAAGAGUAACUAGGCACAACCCCCACCUGAGUGGGGUCCCCAGCUAUGAAGUCAUGUGGUGGCAUAAGUGAUGUGAGCAGGGCUCAUCAAAGAGCACCGGUACAAAUACAGCUGGGGAGAAGAGGAGGGGGCUCAGCAGGCCUCUUUCUAGGUUAGGUAGUUUAUGAAAUGCCUGCCCUCUCCCCUGACCUGUUGCCACUGCUACUCAUGGGGGUCUUUGAGCCUGAGUCUUGGCAGUCUCCAACAAGCAGAGGACAGUGCCACAAGGCUGCAUAUAAGAGGGAUGGCAGCUACCCUCAUAACUCUGCUUGGAACAGUGCACCUACUACCACCGAAGGUGAGGGUGCUGUGUGCCUGUGGUAAAGAGUCCUGUGAAAAGCAACCACCCUCCCAGAGCAGGUACAGCCCCACCCAGCUGUAGAGCCCUAGGCUAGGGUGGCAGGAAGUCUUCUCCCACAGGAAUCCCACUGGACUGGCAAGAGGAGAACUGCUCACAGAGGACAUGCUGCUCAUUUUGGCAAGGGACUCUCUCCUCCCAGAUGGAACCCAGCCUGUCCAUGGAUGGAAAACAGCAGACUGGUUGCACAUCAGGGAAGAGAGCGAGAACCACUGAGUCAUUGAAGGGGUGGCAGCAGAGCCCUUGUCAUCCCAGAAUAGGGCUUGUGUGUGGGUGGUACCACCCUACCAAGCAAGGUCAAGGCCAUAUUGAGAUCAGGUCUAUAGGAGCCCCUGAUUGGACAGGUGUAUGGUCUCACAUUGCUUUAAUCCAGCUCUGCUUUGGGAAAAAUCUUCUGGGGGCAGAGGGAGGUGAGAAAGGGGAAGAGAAAGCAGUUUAAGGGACAGAAAGUUCUGGAGGCAGUCUGCUAGGGGGCUGCGUGAUGUAGUGCAUGCAUUCACUGAAGAUGCCUACUCUGGGUAAGGUGUUGUUUAGGGAGCACAUCUACUAGAAAGUACUCCUCUACUAUUGGUCAAUUUGAUCUUUAAGAGUACUGAUGGAUUCCUUGCUCUCACAGAGAAACAUUACUCAUGGAUAAUGCUUUCAUCUCCAGAUGGCUAUUGUUACAGAUAAUGACCAGGUUUCAGUUAUUCACACCUUUGUCACUUGUUUGCUGGACUACCACAAUAUAUCUGAGCAUGGUGCCAUUAGCACUUAGGAAACUCCAAAUAGUACAGAACACUGCACCAUAUCUUCUCAGCACCACAGGCUACCACAAGCAUAUCAAACUUGGCCUCUGGUCUUUAUGAUGGCUUCCCAUAGAAUUUCUAAUCAAAAUCAAGAUCUGAGAUCUUAUCUUCAAGGUAAUCCAUAGGCUGGAUCCAGGGUAUCUAAAAAACUGCCUAAAGCUCUGGGAUGAAGUCUGUGGUCAACAACUCUGCUCCUCGGGCACAAUUAAACUCUCUACAAUAAGGGUAAAGAGCA
Molecule: long non-coding RNA, 3534 nt
Organism: Mauremys reevesii (Reeves's turtle)
Lineage: Eukaryota; Metazoa; Chordata; Testudines; Geoemydidae
Exons: 2
Source: RefSeq, a predicted model, not a curated record